Molecule: ribosomal RNA, 600 nt
Filed under: uncultured bacterium
Lineage: Bacteria
Description: bacterial SSU rRNA
Rfam family: Bacterial small subunit ribosomal RNA
Source: RNAcentral
CAGCCUACAAGGCCUUUACUGACGCUAAAGCUCGAAGGUGCGGGUAUCGAACAGGAUUAGAUACCCUGGUAGUCCGCACGGUAAACGAUGGAUGCCCGCUGUUUGCGAUAUACAGUAAGCGGCCAAGAGAAAUCGUUAAGCAUCCCACCUGGGGAGUACGCCGGCAACGGUGAAACUCAAAGGAAUUGACGGGGGCCCGCACAAGCGGAGGAACAUGUGGUUUAAUUCGAUGAUACGCGAGGAACCUUACCCGGGCUUGAACUGCAGCGGAAGGAAACAGAGAUGUUGACGUCCUUCGGGACCGCUGUGGAGGUGCUGCAUGGUUGUCGUCAGCUCGUGCCGUGAGGUGUCGGCUUAAGUGCCAUAACGAGCGCAACCCUUUUCAUCAGUUGCCAUCAGGUGAUGCUGGGCACUCUGUUGAUACUGCCACCGUAAGGUGUGAGGAAGGUGGGGAUGACGUCAAAUCAGCACGGCCCGACCGGCGGGGGGUACACACGCGGUACAAUUGGGCAUACAGAAGGCAGGAACGUGGCAACAUGUUUCAAAUCUUUAAAGUGUCGUCAGUUCGGAUUCCCAAUGCAACCCGACGCCACAAGCAGA